GAUCAUGGCUCAGGAUGAACGCUAGCUACAGGCUUAACACAUGCAAGUCGAGGGGCAGCAUGAUCAAAGCUUGCUUUGAUUGAUGGCGACCGGCGCACGGGUGAGUAACGCGUAUCCAACCUUCCCUAUAGUAGUGGAUAGCCCGGCGAAAGUCGGAUUAAUACACUAUGUUGUAUUUAGAGGACAUCUGAAGAAUACCAAAGGUUUACCGCUAUAGGAUGGGGAUGCGUCUGAUUAGAUAGUAGGCGGGGUAACGGCCCACCUAGUCGACGAUCAGUAGGGGUUCUGAGAGGAAGGUCCCCCACAUUGGAACUGAGACACGGUCCAAACUCCUACGGGAGGCAGCAGUGAGGAAUAUUGGUCAAUGGACGGGAGUCUGAACCAGCCGAGUAGCGUGCAGGAUGACGGCCCUAUGGGUUGUAAACUGCUUUUAUACGGGGAUAAAGUGAGCCACGUGUGGCUUUUUGUAGGUACCGUAUGAAUAAGGACCGGCUAAUUCCGUGCCAGCAGCCGC
This 514-nucleotide ribosomal RNA is filed under the name uncultured bacterium. RNAcentral describes it as "bacterial SSU rRNA". It matches the Rfam family "Bacterial small subunit ribosomal RNA", at positions 15 to 518 of the family's 1533-position model. The record is from RNAcentral.